RNAcentral lists this ribosomal RNA (253 nucleotides) under uncultured bacterium. Its description in RNAcentral is "partial 16S ribosomal RNA". It matches the Rfam family "Bacterial small subunit ribosomal RNA", at positions 524 to 776 of the family's 1533-position model. The record is from RNAcentral.
GACGUAGGGCGCGAGCGUUGUCCGGAUUUAUUGGGCGUAAAGAGCUCGUAGGCGGCUUGUUGCGUCGACUGUGAAAACCCGCGGCUUAACUGCGGGCUUGCAGUUGAUACGGGCAGGCUAGAGUUCGGUAGGGGAGAGUGGAAUUCCUGGUGUAGCGGUGAAAUGCGCAGAUAUCAGGAGGAACACCGGUGGCGAAGGCGGGUCUCUGGGCCGAUACUGACGCUGAGGAGCGAAAGCGUGGGGAGCAAACAGG